GAUGAAGAACGCAGCGAAAUGCGAUAAGUAAUGUGAAUUGCAGAAUUCAGUGAAUCAUCGAAUCUUUGAACGCACCUUGCGCUCCUUGGUAUUCCGAGGAGCAUGCCUGUUUGAGUGUCAUUAAAUUCUCAACCUUUUCAGCUUUGUUUACAAAACUGGUCAGGCUUGGAUCUGGGGGUUUGCAGGCUUCAAUUGAGAGGUCAGCUCCCCUUAAAUGCAUUAGCGGAACCUUUGUGGACCGUCUUUUGGUGUGAUAAUUAUCUACGCCAUUUGUCGUGAAGCAGAUUUUAAUGGGGUUCUGCUUCAAAUUGUCCAUUCACUUGGACAAUUUAUUGACUAUUUGACCUCAAAUCAGGUAGGACUACCCGCUGAACUUAAGCAUAUCACUAAGCGGAGGA
This 398-nucleotide unclassified non-coding RNA is filed under the name soil metagenome. RNAcentral describes it as "partial contains 5.8S ribosomal RNA, internal transcribed spacer 2, and large subunit ribosomal RNA". The stretch from base 1 to 120 matches the Rfam family "5.8S ribosomal RNA", at positions 35 to 154 of the family's 154-position model. The record is from RNAcentral.